AGCUCAAAUUUGAAAGCUGGCCCCCUCGGGGUCCGCAUUGUAAUUUGCAGAGGAUGCUUCGGGAACGGCCCCCAUCUAAGUGCCCUGGAACGGGCCGUCAUAGAGGGUGAGAAUCCCGUCUGGGAUGGGGUGGCCGCGCCCGUGUGAAGCUCCUUCGACGAGUCGAGUUGUUUGGGAAUGCAGCUCUAAUUGGGUGGUAAAUUUCAUCUAAAGCUAAAUAUUGGCCGGAGACCGAUAGCGCACAAGUAGAGUGAUCGAAAGAUGAAAAGCACUUUGAAAAGAGAGUUAAACAGCACGUGAAAUUGUUGAAAGGGAAGCGCUUGCGACCAGACUCGCCCGCGGGGUUCAGCCGGCACUCGUGCCGGUGUACUUCCCCGCGGGCGGGCCAGCGUCGGUUUGGGCGGCCGGUCAAAGGCCUCUGGAAGGUAACGCCUCUCGGGGCGUCUUAUAGCCAGGGGUGCCAUGCGGCCUGCCCGGACCGAGGAACGCGCUUCGGCUCGGACGCUGGCAUAAUGGUCGUAAGCGACCCGUCUUGAAACACGGACCAAGGAGUCUAACAUCUACGCGAGUGUUCGGGUGUCAAACCCGUGCGCGCAGUGAAAGCGAACGGAGGUGGGAACCCCCCGGGGUGCACCAUCGACCGAUCCUGAUGUCUUCGGAUGGAUUUGAGUAAGAGCGUAGCUGUUGGGACCCGAAAGAU
Molecule: ribosomal RNA, 700 nt
Filed under: Penicillium citrinum
Lineage: Eukaryota; Fungi; Ascomycota; Eurotiomycetes; Eurotiales; Aspergillaceae
Description: partial large subunit ribosomal RNA
Rfam family: Eukaryotic large subunit ribosomal RNA
Source: RNAcentral